This is a long non-coding RNA of Oncorhynchus keta (chum salmon), 1147 nucleotides long. RefSeq lists it as uncharacterized. The record is from RefSeq and is a predicted model, not a curated record. The transcript has 4 exons. Lineage: Eukaryota; Metazoa; Chordata; Actinopteri; Salmoniformes; Salmonidae.
CCCAUCAGCAGCCCAAAGAUGCGUCCCAAAUGACACCCUGGUCGCUUUAUAGUGCAUUACCUUUGACCAAGGCCUCAGCUCCAGCCAGGAGAUCAGACUGUGUGCUGCUGCCAUGAAGAUAAUGGGGAUUCCAUUUGGCCCUGAGUGAUUUCGUCUCCUCGUCUUCUCAUCUGUCUUGUAGCCGGCCUCUGUAUAUACCGACCCUCAACAACACACAGCUGAGAGCGAGAGAGAGAGUGGCUGUUACUAUGGUCCUCUUUGGUCUGUCCUUCAACCCUGGUCCUGGAGAACCACAGGCUAUGCAGGCUUUUGUUCCUACCCAGCACUAAGACACCUGAUUCCACUAAUCAAAGGCUUAAUGGACAUUUGAUUAGUUAAAUCAGGUGUGAUAGUACAUGGCUAGAAGAAGACCGGAGUUGAAGACGUUCUAAGGCGAGUUCUAAGUUCUAAGAAGUUGAAGUUCCAAGCCAUUCUAGAAGCCAUUUCAGAAGUAAUGGUGUAAACUCUAGUCUAAAUAGUCAGUUAUCACUAGAAUCCCAGUUCACCACCAGUGUUGGAAUUAGUUACCAGUGUUGGUGAUUAGUUAUUGCAUAUUACUAGUUACAUUAAUGUAACACGUUACCUUAAAAUAUUACUUUGUGUGGAAAGUAAUGCGAUUACCGGUUAUAUAAACAAAAUCAAGAAAUCUGUCGGCGAGUCACGAGCGCUCAACCAAAGAUGGGCUACCUAGAAGGUUUGCUCUGUAGUUUCUCCUUUCAUCUGUGGUGCUGCUACGUACUGACUCAGGUUUGCUCUGUAGUUUCUCCUUUCAUCUGUGGAGCUGCUACGUACUGACUCAGGUUUGAUCUGUAGUUUCUCCUUUCAUCUGUGGUGCUGCUACGUACUGACUCAGGUUUGAUCUGUAGUUUCUCCUUUCAUCUGUGGUGCUGCUACGUACUGACUCAGGUUUGAUCUGUAGUUUCUCCUUUCAUCUGUGGUGCUGCUACGUACUGACUCAGGUUUGCUCUGUAGUUUCUCCUUUCAUCUGUGGCGCUGCUACGUACUGACUCAGGUUUGAUCUGUAGUUUCUCCUUUCAUCUGUGGUGCUGCUACGUACUGACUCAGGUUUGCUCUGUAGUUUCUCCUUUCAUCUGUGGCGCUGCUACGU